RNAcentral lists this ribosomal RNA (251 nucleotides) under uncultured prokaryote. RNAcentral describes it as "partial 16S rRNA". It matches the Rfam family "Bacterial small subunit ribosomal RNA", at positions 525 to 775 of the family's 1533-position model. The record is from RNAcentral.
ACGUAGGGGGCAAGCGUUGCUCGGAAUUACUGGGCGUAAAGGGUGUGUAGGUGGCUGAUUAAGUUAAGGAUGAAAUCCCGAGGCUCAACUUCGGAACUGUCCUUGAUACUGGUCAGCUUGAGGCUAGUAAAGGAGAGCGGAAUUCCAGGUGUAGGAGUGAAAUCCGUAGAUAUCUGGAGGAACACCAGUGGCGAAGGCGGCCACCUGGCCGGCAACUGACGCUGAGGUGCGAAAGCGUGGGGAUCAAACAG